UAUGCGUGUCAUUAGCUAGUUGGCGGGGUAACGGCCCACCAAGGCGACGAUGACUAGGGGAUCUGAGAGGAUGACCCCCCACACUGGUACUGAGACACGGACCAGACUCCUACGGGAGGCAGCAGUAAGGAAUAUUGGUCAAUGGAGGCAACUCUGAACCAGCCAUGCCGCGUGCAGGAAGACAGCCCUCUGGGUCGUAAACUGCUUUUAUUCGGGAAUAAACCACAUUACGUGUAAUGUGCUGAAUGUACCGAAGGAAUAAGGAUCGGCUAACUCCGUGCCAGCAGCCGCGGUAAUACGGAGGAUCCAAGCGUUAUCCGGAUUUAUUGGGUUUAAAGGGUGCGUAGGCGGCUUAUUAAGUCAGGGGUGAAAGACGGUGGCUCAACCAUCGCAGUGCCUUUGAUACUGAUGAGCUUGAAUACACUAGAGGUAGGCGGAAUGUGACAAGUAGCGGUGAAAUGCAUAGAUAUGUCACAGAACACCGAUUGCGAAGGCAGCUUACUAUGGUGUGAUUGACGCUGAGGCACGAAAGCGUGGGGAUCAAACAGGAUUAGAUACCCUGGUAGUCCACGCCCUAAACGAUGAAUACUCGCUGUUAGCGAUAUACAGUUAGCGGCUAAGCGAAAGCGUUAAGUAUUCCACCUGGGGAGUACGCCCGCAAGGGUGAAACUCAAAGGAAUUGACGGGGGCCCGCACAAGCGGAGGAGCAUGUGGUUUAAUUCGAUGAUACGCGAGGAACCUUACCCGGGCUUGAAAGUUAGUGAAUCAUUUAGAGAUAGAUGAGUCCGCAAGGACACGAAACUAGGUGCUGCAUGGCUGUCGUCAGCUCGUGCCGUGAGGUGUUGGGUUAAGUCCCGCAACGAGCGCAACCCCUAUGUUUAGUUGCCAGCACGUUAUGGUGGGGACUCUAAACAGACUGCCUGUGCAAACAGAGAGGAAGGAGGGGACGACGUCAAGUCAUCAUGGCCCUUACGUCCGGGGCUACACACGUGCUACAAUGGAUGGUACAGAGGGCAGCAAGCUGGCAACAGCAAGCGAAUCUCAAAAAGCCAUUCACAGUUCGGAUAGAGGUCUGCAACUCGACCUCUUGAAGUUGGAUUCGCUAGUAAUCGCGUAUCAGCAAUGACGCGGUGAAUACGUUCCCGGGCCUUGUACACACCGCCCGUCAAGCCAUGGAAGUUGGGGGUACCUAAAGUAUGUAACCGCAAGGAGCGUCCUAGGGUAAAACCGAUAACUGGGGCUAAGUCGUAACAAGGUAGCCGUACCGGAAGGUGCGGCUG
RNAcentral lists this ribosomal RNA (1280 nucleotides) under metagenome. Its description in RNAcentral is "bacterial SSU rRNA". It matches the Rfam family "Bacterial small subunit ribosomal RNA", at positions 230 to 1520 of the family's 1533-position model. The record is from RNAcentral.